UGGGGAAUUUUGGACAAUGGGGGAAACCCUGAUCCAGCCAUCCCGCGUGUUCGAUGAAGGCCUUCGGGUUGUAAAGCACUUUUGGCAGGAAAGAAACGUCAUGGGUUAAUACCCCGUGAAACUGACGGUACCUGCAGAAUAAGCACCGGCUAACUACGUGCCAGCAGCCGCGGUAAUACGUAGGGUGCAAGCGUUAAUCGGAAUUACUGGGCGUAAAGCGUGCGCAGGCGGUUCGGAAAGAAAGAUGUGAAAUCCCAGAGCUCAACUUUGGAACUGCAUUUUUAACUACCGGGCUAGAGUGUGUCAGAGGGAGGUGGAAUUCCGCGUGUAGCAGUGAAAGGCGUAGAUAUGCGGAGGAACACCGAUGGCGAAGGCAGCCUCCUGGGAUAACACUGACGCUCAUGGACGAAAGCGUGGGGAGCAAACAGG
This 429-nucleotide ribosomal RNA is filed under the name Acidobacteriota bacterium. RNAcentral describes it as "Acidobacteria bacterium partial 16S ribosomal RNA". It matches the Rfam family "Bacterial small subunit ribosomal RNA", at positions 355 to 776 of the family's 1533-position model. Lineage: Bacteria; Pseudomonadati; Acidobacteriota. The record is from RNAcentral.